CACACACACACAUCAUAAACGUAACUUCCUAUAUAGCAAAACACAAAAUGAACGUGUGAAACAUAGGAUUAAAAUGUUUACUCACUGUCCAAAGUUGUACAUGUAGCAACGUGCGUCUGAAAUAACGCCGCUGUCCGAAGCCUGGCUGUUACUGUUUUCGGCGUGUUUACAUGUACAUGCGGGAUAAUAAUAACACCCCCAAGCAAAUAAUAAAAAUAAGAAUCCGCAAAUUUAUAAAAGAUUGUUAAAAGAAGUGAUCAAUAUGCAACAUAAACAACAUGUAAUAUUGAAACGCACAUACAUAGGUCAAUAGAUCUUAUUCGUAAGUCAACGGUUGCAUCCACCAUGUUUUCGUGUACAUUUUAAGAUCCCCCCCCCCCACCCGAAAACUAUCGGUAUAUGCAAUAAAUGGUUAUACAGUUCAAAUAUUGGGAUUGGGUUUAUCUUCAUGUCAUACUUAAAUAACAAGGUAAGUAAAGAGGUACUGAAUUAAUAUUACUUUAAAACUGUUGAAUGGUUGCAUAUAAAUAAAAAUUAAAAAAUAUAAAGAGAGGAAAGGAGACAAACAGAGAGAGGAGAAAGAGAUGUACGAGUAUACUAUAUAUAGGUGUGUUUUAAUAUAGAAUUAACAUAGACAGAUUUAAAUAUUUACAAUAUUAUAAUUAAAUUGCACUGAAUAGUGUUUUUGUUUCACUUUUAUACCUAGAGAACUUUCACGUAAAUGUACAUGAAACGUUGUAAAAUUCUAACGUUACGUUGCAAAAUUGCGACGUCAAUAACAAUCUGGCCAAAACAAUGGGUACUUUGAACGUCAAUAACUAAAAAAAAAAUGAAAAGAUAUCGGAAAAAAGAUAACAUAUUUGAAGAAUAGAUAUUCUUGGCUUCUGUCCCCGAGAAUAAUAUCAUGUUCUGACUAAGGGCCAUUUUUGGCUAUUCGUGGCUCUGGUUCUUUGAUAUUUUUUUUUUACGUUUGCGAAUAAAAUCUGGCGAUCCUUGAUCUGAAAUAACUACAGAUUGCACAUAUAUGGUCAUACAACAUGCCUCAUCACUGUUGUGUCCCCCAGUGCACAAGUGACAGAAGACAGGAGUCUUGCAAGGGUUUGUUAUUUCAUGUAUUCCCCAAGGAUAAGGAACGUUCCAAAAAAUGGUUGAUUGCAAUAAGAAGAGACAUUGGUCCAGAAUUUAAAAUAACCAAGGGAACUCGAGUUUGUUCAUUGCAUUUUGAAAAGAAUGCUUAUGCACCAGCAACUCCUUACACAAAAUUAAGGAAGUUGAAAAAGGACAGUAUUCCCUCUGUAUUCAACUGGACGAUAGCAAAGAAACCAACCCGUCGAGUUCUAUAUAGACAACAGUUAACGAUUCCCUCUAGGACACCCUUGAAAGCAGAUUCUAUACGGAUUGAGUCACUAGUGGUACAUGCCGAACAUUCGUAUGCCAAUCCAGUACCAGCCACAGAGCCAGAGGUACCGGAGUCCGCAACAGUGCUUGAUGAUGAAACAUCUGAAAUCUUGGAAACUUCAGGAAGUACUGAUGAUAGUUUGGCUGAAAUCGAUCAGACGCCAUUGAUGAGAGCAAUAAUUGAUUUGAUGCGCAUUAUUGCUCGCAAAAUUACAUUUGAAGUUCGUAUAAAUGAUUUAAUGAUCAUUUUAAUUCCAUUGAUGUUAUUUUAUGUAAUCAUUUAAAAGUCUGUUGUAUAAGGAAUUAAUGGUGUAGCAGCCAAUUUCUACAUUUAAAUUUUUGCGCCAAUUUGUACACGUUAUCCGCGUGCUACGUCAUAGUUUUUAGGGCACAUAUAUUUUUUGUGUAUGCACAAGCGCGCUGCGAAGAAUGUGAGUAUUAUGUUCCUGUUUCACUGGACAUUGUACUGAACUGCCGUUUCCUAGAGAAACUACUUAUUUGGUAAGACAAUGAUGAACAUUAGCACAUUCCAUAGAUUUAUUUGAAAAUGUGUAUUUGAAUUGAUAGUGUAAUAUGUUUUACGGCGUGACCGUGUUUGAGGGCGAAGCAAAAAAGUUUUGACAUUAGUAUCUAUAUCCAAAACAGGACAAAAACAACUCGAAGUUAGCACGCGGACGGAGCUGUAUCAAAGCAUCCUAAUUUUGGACAUUUGAUCCGCCUAUAUAUUGAACGCGGGAAAUAUAACGCAAUUGAUGUAAACAGUACAUUGUGACGUCAUAUUCAGCGUCGUUAUUUAGCAAAGUUACAAACAAAGUGUUUGAACCACAACAAAAAACAUGGCGUUAAUCGUGGAGUGAUUAUAUAUGAUUAAGAAAAUAAGAUUUACAUGCUUUUACGGAUUUUAUGUGUAACAUCUCAGAACGACGUAAACUAGGGUAGACGAGAUUCAAAAUGGAGGAAUACAUGUCCACGCGCUAAUAUUCGAAUCGACGCCAUUAGUACCAAACUUUUCAAGUUCCAUAGGUAUGGUUUAAUUUUUCAUUAUUUUCCUAUAUUUUCGUUUUAAACAUGUAUAUACGUGUUACCUAUAGGGAGAGCUCCGCUCUCACGGCCCUUCGGGCCGUGAGAGGGCUUCGCCCUCUAUAAAGCAUGUUCUCCGAGUAAACACAUGUGUAUGUAGUUCAUGUCCCGAAUAUUUAUGCAAACUGUGUUUACAGAAUUACAGUAUUGUGCAAUAUAAUUCAAUGUUAGUAAUAUGUAUACGGUGUGACCGUUGGGCCGAGCGAAGCAUGUACGUAACUCCGUGUCCCGAGUGGUAAUCAUAAUUCCGUUAAGUACGGUAGAUUAUGAUUCUUUUAUAAAUAUAUAUUUUGAAUGAAAUUUCCUUGCGCUAAACACCCAGUAACAUCUCAAUAUUAAAGGAGUUUAUAUGGGGACAACAGUUUCACAUGAUCCGCCUAUUCGUUGAACGCGGCAAAUAAAACGCAAGGCGACGUAAACUGUGCAUUGUGACGUCACAUUUAACCUCGACUUUUUUCUCUUUUUCAAAGCAAACAAUUAUAAACAACAAUAAUACAUUCCGUAUGCAACGAAAAAGGCCGUUAAAACCAAACAAAAUUAACCAAUAAAUUCAAAAUGGUUAAAAAGUAACCAUAAUUUUAUCGUAUCUUCUUAUUUAAAGAAACUCAUGAACUCGUUCAUCUAUUUAGUCGUAUUACGGUUUUAUAUGUAUUUAUUUGCUAAAACCUGUUACAAUGAUAAUUAUACUAUUCACUUUGAACAAAAUGAGUGUUUAAAUUACGAAUUGCACGUUAGAGUCUUCUAUUAUUGGCAUUCAAAAUAAAACACGAAUAACUGUUGAAACAGGUAAUGAAAAAAUAAAUGGCGGCGCCCAUAUGGAUCACGAAAAUUUCAGUGAACGUAUAUAGAGAUGAUCUCUUUUUCUUUUGCUGAUUUUGACUUUUUUCUUUUACAUACGUGUUACCUUUAGAGCCUUGCUUCGCGGACGGGCCUUCGGCCCGUCCGAGCUUCGCUCGGUAUUAAGAUAUAUAUGACAUAUAGUAAGACCAUGUGUAGAUUAUUUUUGCUCAUAAGGUGAAAACUAGUUGCACUCAAACUUUUUGUAACUUCAGGGGCAAUAACUCUGUUUUGUUGUGCAAUACAGAUGCUCUUUAUAUUUAUUGUAAUUUAUAUCAGAGUACUAUUUGUUUGGUGCAGUCUGUUAUAAACAGCAAUUUUCUGUAUUGAACUCAGUUUUUGGAUAGUUUGAAUUAUUAUUAUACAUGAUCAUAUGUGUUGUCAGUAUCAAUUCACUGUUUACAAUUAUUGUUUUGUUUUAUUACAGUAUAUCGUAUGAAGUUGAGGAAGUCACAUGAUGCCAAUCAUUGACUUAAGAAUAAAUUUUCCAGGCAUACGCA
Ostrea edulis (European flat oyster) is the source of this 3815-nucleotide long non-coding RNA. RefSeq lists it as uncharacterized. The record is from RefSeq and is a predicted model, not a curated record. Lineage: Eukaryota; Metazoa; Mollusca; Bivalvia; Ostreida; Ostreidae. The transcript is spliced from 2 exons.